GAUGAACGCUGGCGGCGUGCCUAAUACAUGCAAGUCGAGCGGACAGACCAGGAUCUUGCUCCUCUGACGUUAGCGGCGUGCGUAUGAGUAACACGUGCAUAACCUACCUAUAAGACUGGGAUAACUUCGGGAAACCGGUGCUAAUACCGGAUAAUAUAUUGAAGCGCAUGGUUCAAUAGUUAAAGACGGUUUUGCUGUCACUUAUGGAUAUAUCCGCGCUGGAUUAGCUAGUUGGUACGGUAACGUCUUACCAAGGCAACGGUGCGUAGCCGACCUGCGAGCGGGAGAGGCCACAGUGGAAGUGAGAGACGGUACAGAGUCCGACGGGAGGCACAAAUAGCGACGCGUACGAAAUGGGCGAAAGCCUGAAGGAGCAACGCCGCGUGAGUGAUGAAGGUCUUCGGAUCGGAAAACUCUGUUAUUAGGGAAGAACAAAUGCGUAAGGAGCGAUGCACGUCUUGACGGUACCUGCUCAGAAAGCACCGGCUAACUACGUG
This 497-nucleotide ribosomal RNA is filed under the name uncultured bacterium. RNAcentral's name for it is "partial 16S ribosomal RNA". It matches the Rfam family "Bacterial small subunit ribosomal RNA", at positions 28 to 507 of the family's 1533-position model. The record is from RNAcentral.